RNAcentral lists this ribosomal RNA (462 nucleotides) under Thalassobius sp. 5WU1 10. RNAcentral describes it as "bacterial SSU rRNA". It matches the Rfam family "Bacterial small subunit ribosomal RNA", at positions 380 to 867 of the family's 1533-position model. The record is from RNAcentral. Lineage: Bacteria; Pseudomonadati; Pseudomonadota; Alphaproteobacteria; Rhodobacterales; Roseobacteraceae.
AGCCUGAUCCAGCCAUGCCGCGUGAGUGAUGAAGGCCCUAGGGUCGUAAAGCUCUUUCGCCGUGAUGAUAAUGACAGUAGCAGGUAAAGAAACCCCGGCUAACUCCGUGCCAGCAGCCGCGGUAAUACGGAGGGGGUUAGCGUUGUUCGGAAUUACUGGGCGUAAAGCGCGCGUAGGCGGGUUGUUAAGUUAGAGGUGAAAUCCCGGGGCUCAACCCCGGAACUGCCUUUAAUACUGGCAACCUAGAGUUCGAGAGAGGUGAGUGGAAUUCCGAGUGUAGAGGUGAAAUUCGUAGAUAUUCGGAGGAACACCAGUGGCGAAGGCGGCUCACUGGCUCGAUACUGACUGAGGUGCGAAAGUGUGGGGAGCAAACAGGAUUAGAUACCCUGGUAGUCCACACCGUAAACGAUACCAGUCGUCGGGUAGCAUGCUAUUCGGUGACACACCUAACGGAUUAAGCAU